Molecule: RNase P RNA, 357 nt
Filed under: Coriobacteriia bacterium
Lineage: Bacteria; Bacillati; Actinomycetota; Coriobacteriia
Description: RNase P RNA component class A
Rfam family: Bacterial RNase P class A
About the family: Ribonuclease P (RNase P) is a ubiquitous endoribonuclease, found in archaea, bacteria and eukarya as well as chloroplasts and mitochondria.
Source: RNAcentral
AGAGCAAACUGGGCGGUCGCGCAUAUCCUUUGAGAUGUGUGAGGAAAGUCCGGGCUUUACAGGGCAGAAUGCCAGCUAACGGCUGGGCGGGGCGACCCGACGGAUAGUGCCACAGAAAAGGAAACUCCCAAAGUUGAAACACACUUUGAGAAAAGCUGAAAAGGUGCGGUAAGAGCGCACCAGUGUCUUGGCAACAAGGCAGCUUGGUAAACCCCAUUCAAAGCAAGAGCAAAUAGGGAUGCAGACAAUUGGCCCGAUUAGCAUCCGGGUUGCUUGCUGGAGGGUUAUGGCGACAUAACUCCAAGAUAAAUGACCGUCUUAAACGACAGAACCCGGCUUAUAGGUUUACCUCUUGUG